RNAcentral lists this ribosomal RNA (438 nucleotides) under uncultured bacterium. RNAcentral describes it as "partial 16S ribosomal RNA". It matches the Rfam family "Bacterial small subunit ribosomal RNA", at positions 339 to 795 of the family's 1533-position model. The record is from RNAcentral.
CUACGGGUUGCAGCAGUGAGGAAUAUUGCACAAUGGGGGGAACCCUGAUGCAGCAACGCCGCGUGGAGGAUGACGCAUUUCGGUGUGUAAACUCCUUUUAUAUGUCAAGAAAAUGACGGUAGCAUAUGAAUAAGCACCGGCUAACUCCGUGCCAGCAGCCGCGGUAAUACGGAGGGUGCAAGCGUUACUCGGAAUCACUGGGCGUAAAGGACGCGUAGGCGGGCUUGUAAGUCAGGUGUGAAAUCCUACAGCUUAACUGUAGAACUGCACUUGAAACUACGAGCCUAGAGUAUGGGAGGGGAGAUGGAAUUAGUGGUGUAGGGGUAAAAUCCGUAGAUAUCACUAGGAAUACCUAUAGCGAAGGCGAUCUCCUGGAACAUAACUGACGCUAAGGCGUGAAAGCGUGGGGAGCAAACAGGAUUAGAUACCCCCGUAGUC